This 253-nucleotide ribosomal RNA is filed under the name uncultured bacterium. RNAcentral describes it as "partial 16S ribosomal RNA". It matches the Rfam family "Bacterial small subunit ribosomal RNA", at positions 524 to 776 of the family's 1533-position model. The record is from RNAcentral.
UACGGAGGGUGCAAGCGUUAUCCGGAUUCACUGGGGUUAAAGGGUGCGUAGGUGGGCAGGUAAGUCCGUGGUGAAAUCUCUGAGCUUAACUCAGAAACUGCCGUGGAUACUAUUUGUCUUGAAUGUUGUGGAGGUGAGCGGAAUAUGUCAUGUAGCGGUGAAAUGCUUAGAUAUGACAUAGAACACCAAUUGCGAAGGCAGCUCACUACACAAUUAUUGACGCUGAGGCACGAAAGCGUGGGGAUCAAACAGG